RNAcentral lists this ribosomal RNA (510 nucleotides) under uncultured bacterium. RNAcentral's name for it is "partial 16S ribosomal RNA". It matches the Rfam family "Bacterial small subunit ribosomal RNA", at positions 28 to 506 of the family's 1533-position model. The record is from RNAcentral.
GACAAACGCUGGCGGCAUGCCUAACACAUGCAAGUCGAACGGACAGAACAGGGAAGCUUUUCGGAGUGGAACUGGAAAGUUAGUGGCGGAUGGGUGAGUAACGCGUGGACAACCUACCUUGUAAAGGGGAAUAACCUCGAGAAAUCGAAGCUAAUACCCCAUAAUAACCUUGCUUCGCAUGAAGUAAGGAGGAAAGGCGGCCUUAGCGCUGUCGAUACAAGAUGGGUCCGCGUCUGAUUAGCUAGUUGGUGAGGUAAAGGCUCACCAAGGCGACGAUCAGUAGCCGGCCGUGGAGGGUGAACGGCCACAUUGGGACUGAGACACGGCCCAAACUCCUACGGGAGGCAGCAGUGGGGAAUCUUCCGCAAUGGGCGAAAGCCUGACGGAGCAAUGCCGCGUGAGUGAAGAAGGCCUUCGGGUUGUAAAACUCUGUCCUUAUCGAAGAGAGAGUGUUGUAGUAACUGACAAUACUAGGACGGUAGAUGAGGAGGAAGCCCCGGCUAACUAUGU